CAGUCGCCGCGGGAAUACGUAGGUCCCGAGCGUUGUCCGGAUUUAUUGGGCGUAAAGCGAGCGCAGGCGGUUUGAUAAGUCUGAAGUUAAAGGCUGUGGCUCAACCAUAGUUCGCUUUGGAAACUGUCAAACUUGAGUGCAGAAGGGGAGAGUGGAAUUCCAUGUGUAGCGGUGAAAUGCGUAGAUAUAUGGAGGAACACCGGUGGCGAGGGCGACUCUCUGGUCUGUAACUGACGCUGAGGAGCGAAAGCGUGGGGAGCGAACAGGAUUAGAGACCCCUGUAGUCCCUGUCUCUUAUACA
RNAcentral lists this ribosomal RNA (301 nucleotides) under uncultured bacterium. RNAcentral describes it as "partial 16S ribosomal RNA". It matches the Rfam family "Bacterial small subunit ribosomal RNA", at positions 509 to 808 of the family's 1533-position model. The record is from RNAcentral.